RNAcentral lists this long non-coding RNA (1339 nucleotides) under Sus scrofa (pig). Its description in RNAcentral is "lncRNA (ENSSSCG00055007046.1)". Lineage: Eukaryota; Metazoa; Chordata; Mammalia; Artiodactyla; Suidae. The record is from RNAcentral.
AGCCACGAGCAGGACCAGCUCUUGGUAGAGAGGUCUGGGGAGACCAGGGCACAAAAAGUUAUGCCUCAAGGCUCUGGGGACCCGGGAGCCCUGUCUUGGGGAAGAUGCCACCCUCUCAGCCUCUGGCAGCCCAAAGACUGGGCCUCUGGGAACCUCAGGAUUCACUCCUUGGCCUUGACACUGGCUUCCCCAUAAGGGCCAUAAUCAGGGAGGCAUGGGGGCAUUCAGGCAGCCUCAGGACCUUUGGCAAGUUCUAGAGCAGGAGCAGCUAUGCCAGAGGGCUAGUGGUGGCUGCACCUGACAGGCUGGUCUGGGAGCGACACAAAUUCCCUUGGAGGGAUUCACAGGGACCCUUUUAGGUGGGGCGGUGGGGUGAGUUUUCAGGGGGCUUUGGCUGAGGACCUGACAGGGCAGGAAAGGGCAAGAAGAGAAACUUUGGGGUUUGGGCCAAAAAGAUAUGUUAUUCUGAGUCUGGGAGCUGACAAGGCCUGGCGACCUCUGGGCCCAGUGACCCAAGGGGAGCUUAUAAAAAACACGGGAUCACAUAUGCCUGAGGGAACAGUCCAGAACCUGGUCCCAGGUAAGGUCCUCAAAUCUUUAUUUCAGCCACAAAGAAGUGUAGGUCCCUUGAUUCAUCCGGAAGAGGAAUUCUUCCAGAAGGAGAAUAUUCAUCUAGGACGGGGCAGAAUUGGGAGAUAAGAGGUAAGAGACAUUUUCCUCAAAAAACUGGAGACCCAGCAGAAGGCACAGCUCCCUUCCUCCGGGGUCUUGGGUAAGUCAUUUCACCUCUCCGGGCCUCAGUUCGCUCAUCUAUGAAAUGAGGGCGUGUGUUUAGCUUCCUUCUGAGGCUCCUCCAACUCUGUCAUUGACGGGGCCUCCGGGCAGCACCCUGUCCCCGUCAUCUGUAGGGAAACAGAGGCUCCAGGGGAGGGAGCCCACCGGGCCCUGUGCGUCUGGCCAGGCUUUUCUGGCUGGAACUUUCUCUCCAGGUGCUGUGGGCUUUGUCAGCAGCCUGGGAGACGGGGGACAUGGAGGAUCACAGCGGCAGAUCUUAAAUCAAAGCCCGGGCCAUCCAUCUUCCAGAAGAGACGGAAAUAACUAGGAAGCCCUCCCUGAAUGACCCUCCGAGGCGCCUCUGACUCCCAAGGCUGCCAAUGUCGGACUCAGUCACAUUGGUGGCAACUGCCUUUUGCUGCUUCAUUGGGUGGGAUCCAAAUUCCCUGAGCAAAGACCUGUUUUCUCCUUCCCACCUCCCCCUCUAGCAUUUGCCAGAGAGCAGAGCACACAGUAGGUGCUCACAAAACAUGCUUGUCGAUUGCCCGGGAGAUUCCCAGGUGUG